GAUGAACGCUGGCGGCGUGCCUAAUACAUGCAAGUCGAGCGAACGGACGAGGAGCUUGCUCCUUUGACGUUAGCGGCGGACGGGUGAGUAACACGUAGGUAACCUACCUAUAAGACUGGGAUAACUUCGGGAAACCGGAGCUAAUACCGGAUAAUAUUUCGAACCGCAUGGUUCGAUAGUGAAAGAUGGCUUUGCUAUCACUUAUAGAUGGACCUGCGCCGUAUUAGCUAGUUGGUAAGGUAACGGCUUACCAAGGCAACGAUACGUAGCCGACCUGAGAGGGUGAUCGGCCACACUGGGACUGAGACACGGCCCAGACUCCUACGGGAGGCAGCAGUGGGGAAUUUUGGACAAUGGGCGCAAGCCUGAUCCAGCCAUGCCGCGUGUAUGAAGAAGGCCUUAGGGUUGUAAAGUACUUUUGUUAGGGAAGAAAAGGCAUUUGCUAAUAUCAGAUGCUGAUGACGGUACCUAAAGAAUAAGCACCGGCUAACUACGUGCCAGCAGCCGCGGUAAUACGUAGGGUGCGAGCGUUAAUCGGAAUUACUGGGCGUAAAGCGAGCGCAGACGGUUACUUAAGCAGGAUGUGAAAUCCCCGGGCUCAACCUGGGCACUGCGUUCUGAACUGGGUAGCUAGAGUGUGUCAGAGGGAGGUAGAAUUCCACGUGUAGCAGUGAAAUGCGUAGAGAUGUGGAGGAAUACCGAUGGCGAAGGCAGCCUCCUGGGAUAACACUGACGUUCAUGCUCGAAAGCGUGGGUAGCAAACAGGAUUAGAUACCCUGGUAGUCCACGCCCUAAACGAUGUCAAUUAGCUGUUGGGGUACUAGAUGCCUUAGUAGCGAAGCUAACGCGUGAAAUUGACCGCCUGGGGAGUACGGUCGCAAGAUUAAAACUCAAAGGAAUUGACGGGGACCCGCACAAGCGGUGGAUGAUGUGGAUUAAUUCGAUGCAACGCGAAGAACCUUACCUGGUCUUGACAUGUACGGAAUCCUCCAGAGACGGAGGAGUGCCUUCGGGAGCCGUAACACAGGUGCUGCAUGGCUGUCGUCAGCUCGUGUCGUGAGAUGUUGGGUUAAGGCCCGCAACGAGCGCAACCCUUGUCAUUAGUUGCCAUCAUUAAGUUGGGCACUCUAAUGAGACUGCCGGUGACAAACCGGAGGAAGGUGGGGAUGACGUCAAGUCCUCAUGGCCCUUAUGACCAGGGCUUCACACGUCAUACAAUGGUCGGUACAGAGGGUAGCCAAGCCGCGAGGUGGAGCCAAUCCCAAAAAACCGAUCGUAGUCCGGAUUGCACUCUGCAACUCGAGUGCAUGAAGUCGGAAUCGCUAGUAAUCGCAGGUCAGCAUACUGCGGUGAAUACGUUCCCGGGUCU
Molecule: ribosomal RNA, 1369 nt
Filed under: uncultured bacterium
Lineage: Bacteria
Description: bacterial SSU rRNA
Rfam family: Bacterial small subunit ribosomal RNA
Source: RNAcentral